RNAcentral lists this long non-coding RNA (911 nucleotides) under Nicotiana benthamiana. RNAcentral describes it as "long non-coding RNA (NBEN_LNC033412)". Lineage: Eukaryota; Viridiplantae; Streptophyta; Magnoliopsida; Solanales; Solanaceae. The record is from RNAcentral.
AAUGGUAGCCUAAAUGAAGAAUAUUUCGAGACUUUAAAGUUGAAUAAUGGAAAAAACUACCAAGUUUGGAUUGACUAUGCAGAUUUCCACAUUAAUGUUACUAUGGCACCAGUUGGUAUGAAAAGGCCUAAGCAACCUUUGUUGGAUUUCCCUCUGAAUCUUUCUCAAGUUUUUAAGGAUGAGAUGUAUGUGGGGUUCACAGCCUCCACUGGAAUGCUUGCUCAAGGUCACAAGAUUUUAGCUUGGAGUUUUAGUAACUCUAAUUUUUCGAUUAGUGAUGCUUUGAUCACACAAGGUUUGCCGGUUAGAAUUAUGAUUCCGACUAAACACAAUAGCCUUCAUAUCGAAUAAUUUGGAAUAACAACAUGAACGGAAGCAUACCUGAAUCCAUAUGUGGAAAUCCUUAAGCCUCCUUUUGAUGAUUGUUUGAAAGCUCCUUGAUCCUUUCUUCAAGAUUGUACUUCACAAAUAAUGGGAAUCCCGAUAACCAUGUCUUUGGGGUUGAGUUUGAUGUUUUCAGGAAUCAAGAAUUCAAUGACAUAAAUAACAACCAUGUUGGAAUUGAUGUCAAUUCUCUUGAAUCAGUGUUUGUUCAUGAAGCAGGCUAUUGGCCUGAUAAGUACAAUAAGUAUAAUGAUAAUGGUAGCCUAAAUGAAGAAUAUUUCGAGACUUUAAAGUUGAAUAAUGGAAAAAACUACCAAGUUUGGAUUGACUAUGCAGAUUUCCACAUUAAUGUUACUAUGGCACCAGUUGGUAUGAAAAGGCCUAAGCAACCUUUGUUGGAUUUCCCUCUGAAUCUUUCUCAAGUUUUUAAGGAUGAGAUGUAUGUUGGGUUCACAGCCUCCACUGGAAUGCUUGCUCAAGGUCACAAGAUUUUAGCUUGGAGUUUUAGUAACUCUAAUUUUUCGAUU